This 497-nucleotide ribosomal RNA is filed under the name uncultured bacterium. RNAcentral's name for it is "partial 16S ribosomal RNA". It matches the Rfam family "Bacterial small subunit ribosomal RNA", at positions 28 to 507 of the family's 1533-position model. The record is from RNAcentral.
GAUGAACGCUGGCGGCGUGCCUAAUACAUGCAAGUCGAGCGAACAGACGAGGAGCUUGCUCCUCUGACGUUAGCGGCGGACGGGUGAGUAACACGUGGAUAGCCUACCUAUAAGACUGGGAUAACUUCGGGAAACCGGAGCUAAUACCGGAUAAUAUAUUGAACCGCAUGGUUCAAUAGUGAAAGACGGUUUUGCUGUCACUUAUAGAUGGAUCCGCGCCGCAUUAGCUAGUUGGUAAGGUAACGGCUUACCAAGGCAACGAUGCGUAGCCGACCUGAGAGGGUGAUCGGCCACACUGGAACUGAGACACGGUCCAGACUCCUACGGGAGGCAGCAGUAGGGAAUCUUCCGCAAUGGGCGAAAGCCUGACGGAGCAACGCCGCGUGAGUGAUGAAGGUCUUCGGAUCGUAAAACUCUGUUAUUAGGGAAGAACAAAUGUGUAAGUAACUAUGCACGUCUUGACGGUACCUAAUCAGAGAGCCACGGCUAACUACGUG